UUCUUUUCCCCUCUCUCUCUCUCUGGUGAGGUGGUGGUUUUGGUGUGGGGGCACUUUUGCUGUUGCAAUAUGGGCUUGAAUGUAAUUUAGUGUGAUGCACUCAUGUCUAAAUGAUUAACAUGAAAGUUCCUAUAUGGAUUGUUCCUGUGAGGUUUCACUUGAGGUCAUACAUAUGCUACUACAGCUGUUAGUUGAAGGCCUGCUUGAAUCUCCUUGCGCAAUAUGAUGUGUGUUUUUCUGCAGUGUGUGCAAUGUCUACAAGGUUGUUCAGUCAAGAAAAGGCAGCAUGUUAC
This 293-nucleotide unclassified non-coding RNA is filed under the name Hevea brasiliensis (rubber tree). Lineage: Eukaryota; Viridiplantae; Streptophyta; Magnoliopsida; Malpighiales; Euphorbiaceae. The record is from RNAcentral.